Molecule: long non-coding RNA, 2093 nt
Organism: Anolis carolinensis (green anole)
Lineage: Eukaryota; Metazoa; Chordata; Lepidosauria; Squamata; Anolidae
Exons: 2
Source: RefSeq, a predicted model, not a curated record
ACUGCCUUGAAGUGGGCACAGCAGGGAGCCAGCAAAGAUGGGUGGGAGGGGUCCAACAUGUGGCAUGCAUAAAACAGUACUGGGCAGCAGAUGUUUUAAACUGCAAUCCACCAUUAGGUGUGCUAUCUUGAGCUGCUAGUGUCUGUACAGAAAAGCAUCCAAAGGACCACUAAGUAUUGGAACACUAUAAAUCCUCUCCAAGCAUCUGAAGAAAUCAGUUCAUUCUGCAAAAGCUUAUGCUACAGUAUCUUUUCUCAAAGAUGCUACAAGAUCCCUUUGCGUGCUGGUAUUCCAGACUAACAUGGCUAUAGCCUCACUGGGUUCAAAACUGUCUUAGAAGUAGACUGAAUUUUAACAUAAACUAGUAGGUUCAAAUUUGGCUAGCACAAAGACCAAGUGAUUAUUAGUCAAAUUCUCUUGCUGGGCUGUGGGAAAGGCUCAAGGCAAAACUUCAUGUUACAUUAUUCAUGUUUUUUUAAAAGUGUACUUAAUGCUGCUGCUCUUUCACCAGGAAGAAAAAUAACAAUUCAUGGUUAUUUUGCUGUGCUGUAUCCUUUUCUUCAUCUCCCUACCUGUUUCCAACCCAGAUUUUGCAGGCAGUCUGUAAAGGCACAAGUAUUCCAGGAGGAAGCAAUUAUACAAAAUAAAGGGCAUUGUUUAUGUAACUUAUUAACACUAGUCAUGUGUUCUUGACAUAAUUUGGAUGGUCUUAUUGGGGCUUCACACCAAGUGUAUUCAGGCCUGGUGACAAGUGUUCCAGCUGGCAUCUUUGGUGGAACUGCCCUAUGAGUCUCCACUUAGUAGAUGGAAACAGAAGGGGAGUGUGGUGGAGGCUCCUUCUUUGGAGGCUUUUAAGCAGAGGCUGGAUGGCCAUCUGUUGGGGGUGCUUUGAACGAGAUUUUCCUGCUUCUGGACUGGAUGGCCCAUGCGGUCUCUUCCUAUUCUAUGAUUCUAUGAAUUUGGUAUGACCUCAAAUAUACACUCUGCACAUCUGUACAGGGUUUCCUGGGUUGCAUUCCAUGAUACAGACAAUAGUCAAGUGGCCAGUGAGUUUAGUUUUCGAUGUGCAUUUCUUAUUUCUUUUUCACAGUGAUGUGAAAGCCUUAGAAAUUUGGAGUCGGGUCAAGAGUGGGUUUUUCUGGAUUAUGGAUCCUUUGUUACCAGAAAAUGUUCUUGAAAAGAUUGGAGUAUCCCACAAAAUCAAUAUGCAGGAGGAUCUUGUAGCACCUUAGAGACUAAGUGAAUGAACAAAAGCAUAAGCUUUCAUAGAUGGAUCUUGCUUCCUCAGAUGUAUCUCAGACUAUCCCAGACUAAAAUUUUUGUCUUUGACAAAAAAAAAAAUUGUGGUGCUCUUUGGCAGUCUGGUGCAGAAUAAGUAUGAUACGGAUGUGUGAUUCUGUUUGGCAGCUGUAUUUAUUUGCCUCUUGUCUUUCCGUGCUUUCUCUCACUUGUGAUUUUAAGAUUAUUACAAUUUUCCUAUUUUUUUUAGCAACAUGGGAGAGAAAAUUUGAAAUGGGGGAUAGAGAGUAAUUUGGACUAGCAGAACAAAUAAGGGAUGGCCUCUAUUUCAUAAUGUAUCAAUUUCAUGUAGUGUCAUUGUUGUUGCUGUGGUGGUUGUUAUUCCAUUUAUACUUCAUCUGUCUUCAUUAGCAUUCAUAAUUACUAAUACUUACGUGUAAAACCACUGCCAACAUUACAAAUUGCAAGUACUGAAAACUAAAUAAUAAAUUACAUCUAUCUCGUAAUGUAGAUAAAAACUAUUCAAAAGGAUAGCAAUUACAAAAUUAAAAUUUAGGCUGUGAUCCAAUUUACCUGUGGUAUCUUGCUAAGCUCUGAUGGCAUAGUUCCAAAUAGGAUCACCUAUGCAGUGUGAUGGGCAUGCCAAUCUCUACAAUUGACUCAUACGUGGGUGAAGCCUGUUGUAUUGAACUGCUUCUUUAAAGUGGUGGUUAUCACUUGCUUAGGGAGGUGUUGGAUAUGUUUGUUUGAGCAUUUGUUUUCGCCACAUUCAUCUACAAUCAAACAACGUAAAUUUUGCACAGUCACUAGGCACAGGUCUCAAUCAUUCCCCUAAAGUGUUAUAUUUAUUUAUU